AGUGAACGCUGGCGGUAGGCCUAACACAUGCAAGUCGAACGGCAGCACAGUAAGAGCUUGCUCUUACGGGUGGCGAGUGGCGGACGGGUGAGGAAUACAUCGGAAUCUACUUUUUCGUGGGGGAUAACGUAGGGAAACUUACGCUAAUACCUCAUACGACCUACGGGUGAAAGCAGGGGAUCUUCGGACCUUGCGCGUUUGAAUGAGCCGAUGUCGGAUUAGCUAGUUGGCGGGGUAAAGGCCCACCAAGGCGACGAUCCGUAGCUGGUCUGAGAGGAUGAUCAGACACACUGGAACUGAGACACGGUCCAGACUCCUACGGGAGGCAGCAGUGGGGAAUAUUGGACAAUGGGCGCAAGCAUGAUCCAGCCAUACCGCGUGGGUGAAGAAGGCCUUCGGGUUGUAAAGCACUUUUGUGGGGAAAGAAAAGCAGCAGGUUAAUAACCCGCUGUUCUGACGGUACCCAAAGAAUAAGCACCGGCUAACUUCGUG
RNAcentral lists this ribosomal RNA (492 nucleotides) under uncultured bacterium. Its description in RNAcentral is "partial 16S ribosomal RNA". It matches the Rfam family "Bacterial small subunit ribosomal RNA", at positions 29 to 507 of the family's 1533-position model. The record is from RNAcentral.